GACGAACGCUGGCGGCGUGCUUAACACAUGCAAGUCGAACGGUGAAGCGCCUUCCUUUUUGGUGGGUGUGUAUGAGUGGCGAACGGGUUAGUAACACGUGAGUAACCUGCCCCCUUCUUCUGGAUAACCGCAUGCAAGUGUGGCUAAUACGGGAUAUUCUGGGUCUGUCGCAUGAUGGGUCUGGGAAAGAUUUUGUUUCGGUGGGGGAUGGGCUCGCGGCCUAUCAGCUUGUUGGUGGGGUGGUGGCCUACCAAGGCGGUGACGGGUAGCCGGCCUGAGAGGGUGGACCGCACUAGAGGGAAGACGAGGCGGCGAAGACUACGAGGGGAGGCAGUAGGGGGGAAUACGCCACAAUGGGAGGCAGGAUGAAGCAACGCCGCGGGGGUGGGGAUGGAGGUCGGCGGGUUGAGAACUUCUUUCGGGAGAGAAGAAGGCUGUAAGCGUUUGUGGGUGGGUUGACGGUAGCUGGAUAGGAAGCGCCGGCUAACUACGUG
This 494-nucleotide ribosomal RNA is filed under the name uncultured bacterium. RNAcentral describes it as "partial 16S ribosomal RNA". It matches the Rfam family "Bacterial small subunit ribosomal RNA", at positions 28 to 507 of the family's 1533-position model. The record is from RNAcentral.